Molecule: ribosomal RNA, 468 nt
Filed under: uncultured bacterium
Lineage: Bacteria
Description: partial 16S ribosomal RNA
Rfam family: Bacterial small subunit ribosomal RNA
Source: RNAcentral
GACGAACGCUGGCGGCGUGCUUAACACAUGCAAGUCGAACGGAAAGGCCCUGCUUUUGUGGGGUGCUCGAGUGGCGAACGGGUGAGUAACACGUGAGUAACCUGCCCUUGACUUUGGGAUAACUUCAGGAAACUGGGGCUAAUACCGGAUAGGAGCUCCUGCUGCAUGGUGGGGGUUGGAAAGUUUCGGCGGUUGGGGAUGGACUCGCGGCUUAUCAGCUUGUUGGUGGGGUAGUGGCUUACCAAGGCUUUGACGGGUAGCCGGCCUGAGAGGGUGACCGGCCACAUUGGGACUGAGAUACGGCCCAGAAUCCUACGGGAGGCAGCAGUGGGGAAUAGUGCACAAUGGGCGGAAGCCUGAUGCAGCAACGCCGCGUGCGGGAUGACGGCCUUCGGGUUGUAAACCGCUUUCGCCUGUGACGAAGCGUGAGUGACGGUAAUGGGUAAAGAAGCACCGGCUAACUACGUG